AACGAACGCUGGCGGCAGGCCUAACACAUGCAAGUCGAGCGCGCCCUUCGGGGUGAGCGGCGGACGGGGGAGUAACGCGUGGGAACGUGCGCUUUUCUCCGGAAUAUCCCCGGGAAAUAAAUAGAAAUACCGGAUACGAACACUGGGGGGGAGAUUUAUCGGCAAAGUAGCGGCCGGCGUUUUAUGAGGUAGGGGGAGGGGUAACGGGCUACCAAGCCGACUAGCCGUCGCGGGGCUGAGAGGAUGCUCAGCCACACUGGGACUGGGACACGACCCAGACUCCUACGGGAGGCGGCAGUUGGGAAUCUUAGACAAUGGGGGCAAUGCUGCUCCAGCCAUGCCGCGUGAGUGAUGAAGGCCUUAGGGUUGUAAAGCUCUUUCAGCUGGGAAGUUAAUGACGGUACCAGCAGAAGAAGCCCCGGCUAACUCCGUG
RNAcentral lists this ribosomal RNA (433 nucleotides) under uncultured bacterium. Its description in RNAcentral is "partial 16S ribosomal RNA". It matches the Rfam family "Bacterial small subunit ribosomal RNA", at positions 29 to 507 of the family's 1533-position model. The record is from RNAcentral.